GUUUUAGUAAUUUAAUAAAAAUAUUGGUCUUGUAAACCAAAAAUAAAAUUUUUUUUUUCUAAAACU
Molecule: transfer RNA, 66 nt
Filed under: Phyllotreta variipennis
Lineage: Eukaryota; Metazoa; Arthropoda; Insecta; Coleoptera; Chrysomelidae
Description: tRNA-Thr
Rfam family: tRNA
About the family: Transfer RNA (tRNA) molecules are approximately 80 nucleotides in length. Their secondary structure includes four short double-helical elements and three loops (D, anti-codon, and T loops). Further hydrogen bonds mediate the characteristic L-shaped molecular structure. tRNAs have two regions of fundamental functional importance: the anti-codon, which is responsible for specific mRNA codon recognition, and the 3' end, to which the tRNAs corresponding amino acid is attached (by aminoacyl-tRNA synthetases). tRNAs cope with the degeneracy of the genetic code in two manners: having more than one tRNA (with a specific anti-codon) for a particular amino acid; and 'wobble' base-pairing, i.e. permitting non-standard base-pairing at the 3rd anti-codon position.
Source: RNAcentral